AGACCGAUAGCGAACAAGUAGAGUGAUCGAAAGAUGAAAAGCACUUUGAAAAGAGGGUUAAAUAGCACGUGAAAUUGUUGAAAGGGAAGCGCUUGUGACCAGACUUGCGCCGGGCAGAUCAUCCGGUGUUCUCACCGGUGCACUCUGCCCGGCUCAGGCCAGCAUCGGUUCUCGCGGGGGGAUAAAGGCCCUGGGAACGUAGCUCCUCCGGGAGUGUUAUAGCCCGGGGCGUAAUGCCCUCGCGGGGACCGAGGUUCGCGCAUCUGCAAGGAUGCUGGCGUAAUGGUCAUCAGCGACCCGUCUUGAAACACGGACCAAGA
Molecule: ribosomal RNA, 320 nt
Filed under: Chaetomium sp. CL024
Lineage: Eukaryota; Fungi; Ascomycota; Sordariomycetes; Sordariales; Chaetomiaceae
Description: LSU rRNA
Rfam family: Eukaryotic large subunit ribosomal RNA
Source: RNAcentral